GAGGGUAUAGCUCAGUGGUAUAGUGCCUGCCUAGCAUGCACAAGGUCCUGGGUUCCAUCCCCAGUAACUUCA
Molecule: transfer RNA, 72 nt
Filed under: Camelus bactrianus (Bactrian camel)
Lineage: Eukaryota; Metazoa; Chordata; Mammalia; Artiodactyla; Camelidae
Also listed under: 2 other names
Rfam family: tRNA
About the family: Transfer RNA (tRNA) molecules are approximately 80 nucleotides in length.
Source: Rfam by way of RNAcentral